UAUCUCUGAACUAUAGAACAUUAUCUAUAAUCGAUUUUAAUUCAUGUCGGACACCCGAAGAAGUUCAUUUUUACUUCUCUCGUUCUUAAAUGAAAAAAUAAAAGAGGAGCUUGGGAAUCAUUUCAUUAGCCAAAACAAAGAGAGGUUAAAAAGCUGUUACUGAAAGCGUUGAAAGUGUUGUUGAAACUAGGAAAAUGUUGAAAGUUAUGAAACUCAAAGUGCUUGUCGAUCCAGAAGUUUCUGCUGAUACCCUUUUGCUGGAAACUUCACCACAGGACGAGGGGUAAGUUUUGGUGACAAAACGAAUCCGACGUUCCAAACCGAUUGUGAUGGACGGCACUCUCUCCAUAUAACAUUUAACUGGACAUCGAGUUGGCUUUGAUCUUACCAGUCAAAGUGUGCUCAGUGAUGUUGCCUUUGAUAUCGAACCCAUCGCCACCAUCGGCCAAAAAGCUAGGCAUCGCCACGUCAUAGAUUUCCUAAUGUCAACCUUGGGCUGGACCGGACUGUAGGCUGGAAUACGACAAUUGUUGCAUCGUGCCAAAAGCUCUACCACUCUAUCACCUGUGGGCCUAGCUAUGUCGUACGCAACUUGGAGACCUGUGGAUCAUUGCUCGAUAGAAAAAACAUUUAAAAGAAUUCGUGAAAGAAAAACCAUUUACCUGAAACCUGCAGAAAUCCACCGAAGGGAUCCAGAGCUGAUGGAUCGUAAUCAUGCACUGUAAACUCGAAAAUAUUCUUCAGCGUUUCACCGCUGAUUUUGACGAUGUCUACUGUAUUACUGAAAGGAGCGACUGAAAGAAGGUCACCGUACGUGAUGGAUCCUGCAAGACGGAAUCCACUUGUAGAUUUUUAAAAGAACUCGUCAUUAAGUGAAUUCACCAUUUUGGGCGCGCUCAUCGAUGGAUGCCCUGACUCCGCCGCCAUUGACGAGAGCGAUAGCCACUUUACUCCACUGACCCUCGCCUGCAAACUUGGUGAACUGCAUUAAAGCUAUAAACGGUUAUUCAAGGAUUGCCGUGGUAUCUUAUUAGCAUACCAAAUCAACGUAGGCGUCAGCAAUAAAAUUUCCAAGAUUGCAUUCAACCAUGCGACAGGACAGACGAUUACCAUCCAAGAAGACGAGCGUUUUUCCAACUUCUUUCUCUGACAAAGCUUCGACUUCUUUUCGAAAUGGGAUCAGUUCCUGCAGGACGUGUGGAUCUGCAUCGUGGAUGAAACGAUGGCAGAUGUGUAAUUUACGACCAGUAGGAUUUACAACUACAAUAGUACCUCGAGGUAUGGUCUUAUCCAUGAGAAUCGGUAGGCCAGCAGUAGCGAUCACAUCUCCAUCGUCGUUAAAAGUCACCAUUAAGUUGCCCAGAUAUUUGCCAAAGGCGAAUGCCUGAACGACGGGCACUUCCUUCCCAGACGGUUGCUUCACCAUGGUCGGAUAUGGACCUUGUGGAAUUUCGAUGGACGGAGCCGGACCUGCACGUUAAUGGAUUCGAGCUGAAAGUGAUUACACUAACAGCUUACCGUUCCAGAGAAAUGUGUUGGUAUGACCGCCUACCACCACGUCGAUAUCUGGCACCUGUUCAGCGAUUUCCAUAUCUUUGAGAUAACCCGCGUGACCGACUGCAAUUAGAAUAUUGACUCCAUCCUUUUUAAGGCGUUCUGCUUCUUCUCGAACGCCUUGAAUUUCGUCAAAGACUUUGACUGCGUCCAAGGUGGAGAUGUACUGCCAUUUGUGAUCAAGAGCCAAAAGAAGAUGUCAUUUAUAAUUUUCACAUCACCAAUUUUGUUAGAAAAAUGUUUUAUCACCGAUGUUUCAACCGUCAGGUAGCCAAUGAUGCCUACCCUGUGUCCACCUACUUGGACGACUACUGAUUUCGGAAUUUUCCCAUGAAGCCAAGAGUUCCAGGAAGAAAGUUCAAUCAGAGUUUACAGAGGCAUAAUUGAUUAAAAGAAAAGGUAUUUUUACCGGAUGGUUGGCUGCAUUCACGAACGGUGCCAGCCCCGCCACGCCAUCAUCAAAUUCAUGGUUGCCAAGAGACUACUCAGCACAAAAGGAUGAGGGAAAAAAAUCAAAAAUUAAUUGCUAAAAAUUUCUAAUCCCUACAUGUCGUGCCUGUAAACGUUUUGACAGCACAAUUGAUAAUAAUGAACGUUCAAUAUGUGCUGCCAGGCUUUCCGACGGAUGUGUACAAAGCAUAGGGCGUUUCCCCAUUCGUGGUUGUCUAAACCAGGAAAACGCGCUACAUCAAUAAUUAAGAAACAAAUUUAUCAACGUGAGUGUAAACAAACGGACCGUUAACGCGCUGCCACAUGGGUGGGAAAACUGUCGGCGAUGAUCACGCAAAAAACGCAGCUUUUUUUUCAUUCCAUUACAAGCAGAUAAGAAGGAUUUCAACAACUCGCAUUGUGAAAAUCAUUGGAAUAGAAAGUGGCCGUUAAAAAGAAUGACGGACGUUUUCCAUUGUCCAUUUCAACAUAGGCUACCUCGAUAAACCUAAUAACCACAGUGAAUGGAAAGGAAAAGGAUUGUUUGGCUUCUUGGCCGGACCACUAUGCUACAGAAACAUCUGUCUUUAGAAAGCGAAACAACGGAGGAAACAUGAAUAACUUACCAUGGCCGUUAAGUUGAGCAAGUUACCGAAGUGGCUGACGGCCUUCCAUUUAUGGAUGGUAUACCAUCUGUCGGCGAGACCAAAUACGUAAACCAAAUACGUAAACCAAACGCCAAUCAGAAGUAGCAAAGCAGGCAAGGAGAUGUAAAUAUUGCACAGCAUUUGUUCUCACAUGGUGCCUUGGAAGAAAUCACCGCCAUUUAAAAAAAUUGUGUCCGGAUGCUGUUCACGAAUUUUUCGAGCUUGAUGGACCAGACGGGCAUAUCCACCGAAACAAUUGCCAUCCUCCGAGUCUCGUUGUUUGCACGCCCCACCGAGUUUGUUGGCCUCUUCGAAACGGCAAUGGAUAUCGUUAGUGUGUAGGAUAGUCAAAUUAAACGAAGCUGAUGCCUGCUUGACAACGAAAGAUACACAAAACAGACCCAACAGCCUCAACCACAUGAGUACGGUAUUACGUGUCGACCAGUCCUGCAUUUUCUGCUCAACUGUGGACAAAAUUUUGAGCGUUCAGCGUUAUAUUGCUCACCAAACUGGAAAUAGGCGUCGCCACAAGCUGUCUACUAGCUUUCGGAGAGAGGAGACUAAAUCCGAAGGACGUAACCAGCAAGAGUCAUCUCCUAUUCAAAUAAAUUUCAAUUGGACUCUAUCGAGAAUCAAACCCUUAAUUAGCGGCACACCUAUCCCAUGCUCGACCAUUGAGCCAUGAUUCACAUUUUAUUGCUCACUAUUUCUCCAUAUGAUUUAGGAUUCCCUUCGGGAUUCGGGUUGCUAUAAGAAGCUAGCCCAGAUGCCAAUCGUCUUGAUCCCUCUCCCUUUGAUUGCGAUUCGAGUCAACGCAUUCCAUCAUGCCAGCGAUUGCAGACGUUGUUCGACCAUUCUUUUCACAGGAUUUUAUGACUGGACUUCCUGCAAUUCCUGAUACCAUCUGUCCUAAGAGGUUGUAGACAAGAUGGCUGAAGCCGUCUUAACUGUUCCAGCAAUUUCCAAGGUCCUGUAUGACCUGACGGCGAAACCACCGGAGAAAACGGAGUGGGGAUGAUUUGAUUUACGAACGUUGCUUAGGCAAAUGAUCUCCACACUCUUUAUAGGACAAGGAUACGGAGUUUUAUCAUGACCAGACUUAGAUGGGAGAUAUUACGAACAUUGGAUUCAGUAUAGACUUUUGAAAUUAAAAAAUUUAUUAGCUUUGUCGUCUCGUGAAAAUCUCUUUAACUCGCUUUUUAAGAGGAGUUCACGUGAUGACUUGUCUAUUUCUUAAUAUACGUGCACACUUGUCGGAAA
RNAcentral lists this long non-coding RNA (3890 nucleotides) under Daphnia magna. Its description in RNAcentral is "uncharacterized LOC123474572, transcript variant X6". The record is from RNAcentral. Lineage: Eukaryota; Metazoa; Arthropoda; Branchiopoda; Diplostraca; Daphniidae.